CGCAGGGCUGUUCCCCCUCUGGCUCUGUGCUCCCCAGCGCAGCCUGGCUGCGGCUCAGGCUUUGCCCUGCAGGCAGCUGUGCUCUGUGACGUCCCGCAGCCGCAGCUCAGCCCAUCCUCAUCCUCCUCCUCUUCCUCCUCCCCCCCAGGAGUACACGUGCCCCAGGUGCGAGUCCGGCUUCAUCGAAGAGGUGACAGACGACUCCAGUUUCCUGGACGGCGGCGGCCUGGAGGACGGCCCUUCGGCGCAGUUUGCAGAGCUCUGGGACCAUUUUGGGACCACACCAUGGUUUCUUCCCCCGGACUU
Meleagris gallopavo (turkey) is the source of this 306-nucleotide non-coding RNA. The record is from RefSeq and is a predicted model, not a curated record. Lineage: Eukaryota; Metazoa; Chordata; Aves; Galliformes; Phasianidae.